UUUAUUUCUUUUUCUUGUUUUUCUCUUCACGUUACAAAUCUCAUGAAUUGGCUGUGUAUAUAUAUACACAUACCAGCCAUAACAUUGACCGACUCGAGACCUUACUCGUACCUGCUUUGGACUCCAGAAGCAACACGGACAAAACCCAACAAAGGCAAACUCCUAGCCUAAUAGGAACACUACUACUAGGACACGCGAAGUCACUUUUCUAAACUAAUCAACCGGCAACGCUGAUCGCACUUCAUACUAAUCCGAAUAGGACUCAAACAUGACUAUACGUACUGGUAAUCUCAAACUUACCUAAUUUAUCUUAACUUAUGUUUGGAUUACCUAAUGUUGAGUAUAUAUGUGUUAUGUGCAUAUUGUGUAUUGGGCCCGUCUUCUAGUUUCUUGUAUAGUUGAGGUCUGUGAUCCACCUUUGUACAUCAUAUAUACGUACCUAUGCACGAAAAGUAAUACAUCAUGCAAUUCACAUAUUUCAUGGUAUCAGUUUUUAGGUUUUAAACCCUAGUUUUCCGCUGCUGCCGCUGCCGCACACCUUCUCCGCGCCCCCGCCGCCACCCAUCCACCGCCACCGCCCGCGCGUCAACCGCGCCGGCCGCGGCUACCCUUUCACAUGCGUGCUUCUCUAGCCGCCGCUAGCCACGCGCGCUACUAGCACGUCCGCUGCCCGCUGCUAGCCACUUUCAUACGUGGAUUCAUCAUUCUCUUAAUACGUUCAAAAGUCAAAGGUAUGCUAGCCAUUAUCUACAACAUGAAGAUUGCGCGGUCUCCAUCUAGUGGCUUGAUAUAGGUGCUGGCAGCCGCACGCCGCGUCGUCCGAUCCAUCGCGCCAGCCACCAAGUUGCUUCGCUGCCGCAUCGCUCGAUCUGCUGCGUGCCCGAGCUGCUGCUGCCGCCGCGCGAUCCAUCCAAGCCCGCGUUCCCGAGUUGCUGCUGCCGCCGCGCGAUCCAUCCAAAGCCGCCACGCGAAUCUCCGUCGUCGGACCAGCGAUGGCGUCAACCGGCCCGUCCACCGCCGCCUCUGUCGUCCCGCCGCCGGCACCCUUUGGCGCGGCUCCGCCGCCGGCGCCCUACGGCGCAGCCCUGUCGCCGUAUGGGGCGGCCGCCACCUACGGCGCGUCCGUCGUCGCCCCGCCGCCGGUGCCCUUCGGCUCUUCGUCCCCCUCGUCGGCCCUGCCGUCGGUGCCCUGGGACCCGGCGCUCCUCAUCGGGCUUCAUGCCGCUCAUACGCCGACGAACUACACUGGAGGUGGUGAUUGGUACAUGGACACCAGUGCAACGGCUCACAUGUUUGCUCAUCCUGGUAACCUUGCCUCCUUCACUCCUGUCUCUACCGACCGCCGCAUCAUUGUCGGCGACGGUUCCACACUUCCUAUAACACAUGUUGGGCACACUUCUUUUCCUUCUACUUCUACUUCAUUAUCUUUGUCUAACAUACUUGUGUCACCUCAUCUUAUUAAGAAUCUCAUUUUCGUUCGUUGUUUCACUCUGAAAAUCCUGUUACCGUUGAAUUUGACGAGCUUGGUUUUUGUGUCAAAGACGCUCGCACCAGGAUGGUACUUCGCCGAUGUGACGGCCCCGACAAGCUCUAUCUGGUGCACUCGCCUUCAUCCACCACCAUCGCACCGGUUGCUCUCUCCGCUGGCGUCGAUCUCUGGAACGCUCGCUUGGGUCAUCCCAACCCCGUCACACUUCGUCAUAUUUUUAGGAGUUUCAGUUUCAGUUGCAAUAAAAUCAAGAAUCACACUUGUCAUGCAUGUCGAGUCGGCAAACAUGUUCGUCUGCCGUUUACUAAUUCCACCACCAUUGCUUCUUUUCCUUUUCAGUUGAUUCAUAGCGAUGUGUGGACUUCUCCGGUUCCCAGUAACUCGGAUUAUUUAUAUUAUCUGGUCAUUCUCGAUGAUUAUUCUCAUUAUGUAUGGACUUUUCCUUUGUGUAGAAAGUCGGAUGCACUCUCUACCUUGGCGUCCUUUUUCUCCUAUGUCCGCACGCAGUUUGGGCAUCCCAUCAUUGUGCUUCAGACGGACAAUGGAAAAGAGUUCGACAACCUUGCUUUCCGCACCUUUUUGUCGCAUCACGGCACAGUUUUCCGCCUCACAUGCCCGUACACUUCACAGCAGAACGGUCGAGCCGAACGCGUCCUUCGCACUUUGAAUGACUGCGUUCGCACGCUCCUGUUUCAUGCCAACAUGUCGCCUCAUUUCUGGCCGAACGCACUCGCCACUACAUCAGUUCUUCUUAACAUUAGACCCUGCUGCCCACGGUGUAACUACGCACCUCACCAUCUUCUUUUUGGUAUGCCCCCGUCUUAUGACGACUUGCGUAUUUUUGGGUGCCUUUGCUAUCCCAGCACUGCCGACACUGCUUCUCACAAGCUUGCACAUCGAUUUGUCGCUUGCAUCUUCAUCGGCCACCCCUCCAACUCCAAGGGAUAUCGGUGCUACGAUCCCGUCUCCCACCGUGUGUUCAGUUCCCGGCACGUUUACUUUGAUGAGCAUGUGUUUCCGUUUCACCAGGUACCCCCGGCUGUUCCUCCCGUCACUGAUAACGCNNNNNNNNNNNNNNNNNNNNNNNNNNNNNNNNNNNNNNNNNNNNNNNNNNNNNNNNNNNNNNNNNNNNNNNNNNNNNNNNNNNNNNNNNNNNNNNNNNNNNNNNNNNNNNNNNNNNNNNNNNNNNNNNNNNNNNNNNNNNNNNNNNNNNNNNNNNNNNNNNNNNNNNNNNNNNNNNNNNNNNNNNNNNNNNNNNNNNNNNNNNNNNNNNNNNNNNNNNNNNNNNNNNNNNNNNNNNNNNNNNNNNNNNNNNNNNNNNNNNNGGUUGGUCCGGUCACCCGCGCCCGUACGGGCAUUUUUCGCCCGAGCUCACGCUACGCCUCGGAUGACUACGUCCAUGCGGCGUCCACCACUGAGUUUUCGCCGUUGCUGUCCUCCGUUCAAGCCGCUCUUCGUGACCCGCUCUGGAUGGCUGCAAUGCAAGAGGAGUUUGAUGCCCUGUUGCGCCACCGGACGUGGCAGCUUGUUCCCCGUCCCCAGCACGCCAACGUGAUUACCGGGAAAAGGGUGUUUAAACACAAGCUCCGUCCUGAUGAUACCCUUGAUCGCUACAAAGCACGAUGGGUCGUUCGUGGCUUCCGACAGCGUGCUGGCAUCGACUUCACCGACACCUUCGCUCCGGUCGUCAAGCCCGGCACGAUACGCACGGUUCUCCACCUUGCGGCCUCCCGUGCUUGGCCGGUGCACCAGAUGGACGUCUCCAACGCCUUCCUCCAUGGCCACCUUGAGGAGCAUGUCUUCUGCCAGCAGCCCACCGGGUUUGUUGACCCGGCGCUUCCCGACCACGUGUGCAUGCUUUCGCGGUCCUUGUACGAACUCAAGUAGGCUCCGCGCGCUUGGUACCAGCUCAUCGCGGCGCUUCUCCACCAGUUUGAGUUCCGCUCUACCUGAUCGGACGCCUCGCUCUUCGUCUAUCAUCAGGGCUCUGACACAGCCUACUUGUUGCUCUAUGUCAACGACAUCAUCCUGACGGCAUGUAUGGCUGAUCUCCUCAGUCAGCUCACGGCUCGUCUUCGCGCUGAGUUCGCCAUCAAGGACUUGGGUCCUUUGCGCUACUUCCUCGGUGUCGAGGUGGUGCGCCAUCCGGAUGGCUUCUUCCUUCAUCAGAGGAAGUACGCUCACGAGCUCCUCGAGUGUGCCGGCAUGCUUAACUGCAAGCCCGCCGCUAUGCCUGUCGAUACGAAGGCCAAGCUUUCGGCCACGGACGGUUCUCCUGCUUCGGAUGUUGCUUUCUAUCGGUCUAUCAUUGGUGCUCUCCAGUACCUCACUCUGACUCGACCGGAGAUCCAGUAUGCUGUGCAGCAGGUGUAUCUUCAUAUGCAUGCUCCUCGAGACGUUCACUGGGUUGUCGUCGUCGUCCAAGCGGCAGCCUACGGUCUCUCUUUCUAGUGCUGAGGCUGAGUAUCGUGCGGUGGCCAACGCCGUCGCCGAGUAUUCGUGGCUUCGCCAGCUGCUUCAGGAGCUCUCUUGCCCUGUUGACCGUGCCACAGUGGUCUACUGCGACAACGUCUCGGCGGUCUACCUCUCCGCUAACCCGGUGCAUCAUCGACGGACCAAGCAUAUUGAGUUGGAUAUUUAUUUUGUUCGGGAACAGGUGGCCCUUGGCCAUAUUCGCGUUUUGCACGUCCAUACUUCCCAACAAUUUGCCGAUAUCAUGACCAAGGGCUUGCCUACAGCGUCAUUUGAGGAGUUCUGGUCCAGUCUUUGCGUCAGCCGCGGUGCCGCUUCGACUGCGGGGGGAUGUUGAGUAUAUGUGUUAUGUGAAUAUUGUGUAUUGGGCCCGCCUCCUAGUUCUUUGUAGAGUUGAGGUCUGUGGCCCACCUUUGUACAUCAUAUAUACGUGCCUAUGCAUGAAGAGCAAUACAUCGUGCAAUUCACAUAUUGUACACCUGACAAUCACCCUCUAAUCCAAACAUUCGACUUUUUACUUGAUGAGACACGCAGAUGAUCACCUCUUCAUCUUGUCCCACUGAUUGCCUCCGGUGACGCGACUUACCAGAUCACAACUUCGCUCUUCUUGCAAUGAUGAUCACCACUGCAACAUCAUCUUUUUUGUUCAUGCCGACUUGUAGAUUGGACCAACGAUUACCUGGACUACCAGCCACGCUGUCACAUCUUAGCGUGCUACAUGCAGACUAAACACAUAGCCUCAUGUAGGAACUCAACUUAACUGGUCCGUGUCCAUCUUCACGUUGAUCUUCGUCUUCUCAUCGGUUGCUCGCACACGGAGAGACACAACUCUUCACCCGCCACAUCUUUACAUCUUUCCUUUGUCGUUGGUGACACAACUUACCAAAUGACGCUUCACGUCCGACGGCAUCACAACUCGCCAUAUAUGUGCAACUCAACUUCACCGUAUAUGAACUCGCCGGAACUCCUUGAUCACAAACGGAAAAGCAAGGCACGAAUUCUUUUUUUCCGCCCGCUCUCGCUCGCAAUUCUCCUUCGCCAGUGAAUCAUCUGAACUGUAGCAGAAGACUCACACACCUGAGCUCUUGGACGCACCUUACAAGAACUCAUGUGCACACCUAGACGACAGCUCGCAACUUUGUCGCCUCUUCCUCGCUCCUCCGAACGAUGAUCUUGAUGAUUUUCUAGGUGUCGCAACUUCGGCACCUCCAUAACCAUCAACGAUCACCAACGCCCUUCCGACGACAGCCCUGUGUCCCUCCUCCAGGUAGUUCCGUCGAACGACAAUCACCCGUCUUCUCGUCGUCGCUCCGCCGAACGACAACCGCCCAAUUCCUCCACAUCGUUGCACCCCCAACGACUAAAUCGCCCGCUCCUCGUCGCUGCACCACCUAGCGACUAUAUCGCCCGCCCCGAGGUGCUAGUCGGGUCGCCACCCCGGGGCAAGCGCGCGGCUUGAAAUCGACCUUGCUCUAGAUACCAAUUGUUGAAACUUCGCCCACAGAAUCGAUCACAUCAAAUUACGAUGAACACACGCGCACAAAAAUUGAUAGCCAAGGGCCCGUAUCGUGCCUUUUGUUUUCCUCUUUAUUUCUUUUUCUUGUUUUUCUUUUCACGUUACAAAUCUCAUGACCUGGCUGUGUAUAUAUAUACACAUACCAGCCAUAACAUUGACCGACUCGAGACCUUACUCGUACUUACUUUGGACUCCAGAAGCAACACGAAGACAGCCCAACAAAGGCAAACUCCUAGCCUAAUAGGAACACUACUACUAGGACACGCGAAGUCACUUUCCUAAACUAAUCAACCAGGAACGCUGAUCGCACUUCAUACUAAUCCAAAUAGGACUCAAACAUGACUAUAUGUACUGGUAAUCUCAAACUUACCUAAUUCAUCAUAACUUAUGUUUGGAUUAC
This 5877-nucleotide long non-coding RNA is filed under the name Triticum aestivum (bread wheat). Its description in RNAcentral is "long non-coding RNA (TAES_LNC015247)". Lineage: Eukaryota; Viridiplantae; Streptophyta; Magnoliopsida; Poales; Poaceae. The record is from RNAcentral.